AUUGAACGCUGGCGGCAUGCUUUACACAUGCAAGUCGAACGGCAGCACGGGUGCUUGCACCUGGUGGCGAGUGGCGGACGGGUGAGUAAUACAUCGGAACGUAUCCUAAAGUGGGGGAUAACGCAUCGAAAGAUGUGCUAAUACCGCAUACACUCUGAGGAGGAAAGUAGGGGAUCGAAAGACCUUAUGCUUUUGGAGCGGCCGAUGUCUGAUUAGCUAGUUGGUAAGGUAAUGGCUUACCAAGGCAACGAUCAGUAGUUGGUCUGAGAGGACGACCAGCCACACUGGGACUGAGACACGGCCCAGACUCCUACGGGAGGCAGCAGUGGGGAAUUUUGGACAAUGGGCGCAAGCCUGAUCCAGCAAUGCCGCGUGAGUGAAGAAGGCCUUCGGUUGUAAAGCUCUUUCUAGUUGAGAAGAAAGAAUUAGUGACUAAUAAUUAGCAAUU
Molecule: ribosomal RNA, 448 nt
Filed under: uncultured bacterium
Lineage: Bacteria
Description: bacterial SSU rRNA
Rfam family: Bacterial small subunit ribosomal RNA
Source: RNAcentral